Molecule: small nuclear RNA, 301 nt
Filed under: Nannospalax galili (Upper Galilee mountains blind mole rat)
Lineage: Eukaryota; Metazoa; Chordata; Mammalia; Rodentia; Spalacidae
Description: 7SK RNA (ENSNGAG00000004463.1)
Rfam family: 7SK RNA
About the family: 7SK was discovered as an abundant small nuclear RNA in the mid-70s but a possible function has only recently been suggested. Two independent studies have found that 7SK RNA binds the CDK9/cyclin T complex (known as elongation factor P-TEFb).
Source: RNAcentral
AGAUAGGGCGAUCUGGCUGCAGCAUUUGUCCACCCCAUUGAUCACCAGGGUUGAUUUGGCUGAUCUGGCUGGCUAGGCAGGUGUCCCCUUCCUCCAUCAAUGCUCCACGUGUCCCUCCCGAAGCAGCACACUCGGUCGAAGAGGACGACCUUCCCCAAUAGAGGAGGACCGGUCUUUGGUCAAGGGUAUACGAGUAGCUGUGCUCCCCUGCUAGAACCGCCAAACAAACUCUCAAGGUCCACUUCCUGUCUUUAAGGAAUGAUUUGAGUAUGGCCCUUUAGUCUAAAAUCACAGAAACCUU